Molecule: long non-coding RNA, 670 nt
Organism: Passer montanus (Eurasian tree sparrow)
Lineage: Eukaryota; Metazoa; Chordata; Aves; Passeriformes; Passeridae
Exons: 4
Source: RefSeq, a predicted model, not a curated record
GGGGUUGGCUCUGAUCUUGAUCCUGUGCAAAUGCAGUGACUGAGCAUUUUUGCUGUUUUACAGGGUUAUCUCUUAGUAAGUAGCACCAUGUACAGCUCUCCUUGUCACCCUUCAAAGAGAAGCACAUCAUCUCUUUAAAGCUGAGGAAAACAACAUGAAGCAGGUAUAUACUACAGACUGAAACAGUGAAGACAGCGGGCAAAUUGUGGAAAUGCUUCAUGCCUAAAAUGUUGCUGGGGUCUCAUUUUGGAAGGGAAGAUGUAACACAAGCCCCUGAUUUCUGUUCCACUAUAAUGCAGCUGGGCUAACAUAAGUGUUGACUGUCCACUGAUCUGACUGUGUGAGCUGAUAGCUUUUGAAACAGUGGGUUUACUGGCAAACUGCUUCUCAAAUGUGGUUUUAGUGGUGGUUGUGUUCAGACUGACAUAAAAAGUGCAUAUAUUAAUAUUUCAAAGCACAGUCAUGCAACAUAUCUAUACAUUCCUAUUCAACAAUGGGUGAAUUUCCAGAAAUAGCUUGCAGCUCUCUGCCAUGUAAUGCUCUGAAGACAUGUGUGAGCAGCAAGAAAGCAGUGUUUGCACCAUGAGAAGUUAAUUGGUAAGUAAGGUACCAUUUCUGAGUUGUGGGCUCCUGAAACAGUUUGGGGUUUUGUACCCAAAAGCCUCCUCAG